UCGAACGAUGAACCUCCUUCGGGAGGGGAUUAGUGGCGAACGGGUGAGUAACACGUGGGCAAUCUGCCCUUCACUCUGGGACAAGCCCUGGAAACGGGGUCUAAUACCGGAUACGAGCCUCCAAGGCAUCUUGGAGGUUGGAAAGCUCCGGCGGUGAAGGAUGAGCCCGCGGCCUAUCAGCUUGUUGGUGAGGUAACGGCUCACCAAGGCGACGACGGGUAGCCGGCCUGAGAGGGCGACCGGCCACACUGGGACUGAGACACGGCCCAGACUCCUACGGGAGGCAGCAGUGGGAAUAUUGCACAAUGGGCGAAA
This 315-nucleotide ribosomal RNA is filed under the name Streptomyces sp. MP9. RNAcentral describes it as "bacterial SSU rRNA". It matches the Rfam family "Bacterial small subunit ribosomal RNA", at positions 62 to 380 of the family's 1533-position model. Lineage: Bacteria; Bacillati; Actinomycetota; Actinomycetes; Kitasatosporales; Streptomycetaceae. The record is from RNAcentral.